GAUGAACGCUGGCGGCGUGCCUAAUACAUGCAAGUCGAGCGAACAGAUGAGAAGCUUGCUUCUCUGAUGUUAGCGGCGGACGGGUGAGUAACACGUGGGUAACCUACCUAUAAGACUGGGAUAACUCCGGGAAACCGGGGCUAUACCGGAUAAUAUUUUGAACCGCAUGGUUCAAUAGUGAAAGACGGUUUCGGCUGUCACUUAUAGAUGGACCCGCGCCGUAUUAGCUAGUUGGUAAGGUAACGGCUUACCAAGGCGACGAUACGUAGCCGACCUGAGAGGGUGAUCGGCCACACUGGAACUGAGACACGGUCCAGACUCCUACGGGAGGCAGCAGUAGGGAAUCUUCCGCAAUGGGCGAAAGCCUGACGGAGCAACGCCGCGUGAGUGAUGAAGGUCUUCGGAUCGUAAAACUCUGUUGUUAGGGAAGAACAAAUUUGUUAGUAACUGAACAAGUCUUGACGGUACCUAACCAGAAAGCACCGGCUAACUACGUGCCAGCCGCCGCCGUAA
This 513-nucleotide ribosomal RNA is filed under the name uncultured bacterium. RNAcentral's name for it is "partial 16S ribosomal RNA". It matches the Rfam family "Bacterial small subunit ribosomal RNA", at positions 28 to 523 of the family's 1533-position model. The record is from RNAcentral.